GGGCAUAGAGGAAACGAAUCUGAAUAGGAACAAUGAGGUUGCAGGUUCGAUCCCUGGCUUCGCCCAGUGGGUUGGGGAUCCAGCAUUGUCAUGAGCUGUGGUAUAGGUCACAGACACUGCUCAGAUCUGGCCGUUGCUGUGCCCUGGUGUAGGCCGGCAGCUGUAGCUCCAAUUUGACCCCUAGCAUGGGAACCUCGAUAUGUCACGGGUGAGGCCCUAAAAAGACAAACAAAAAAAAUUUGUGAGCAAAGAAGAUAUAAACUUAGCUAGUCAUUGCUUCAUUAUUUUGAAUAUGAGAAAAAUAGUAUUAAGAUGUUCAUACUUCAUAGUAGGAUUGCCUUGAGAUAUCAGUAGGCUUUAUAUAACUGAAUUACAAGUAAAUCCUCUAAUGCUUAGGGAAUAAGCAGUUCUGUUUAAUUAAAUAUUUCAUUUUACUCCGUGUUAUCAAAUAAACCAUACAUGGUUUCAACUUUAAAGUAUUUGAAAAAUUAAAAAAAAUAAGACAUGUAGUAAGAAGAAAAACUGGGAAAGAACAUAGUUUAAUUUUUACUUACUUUUAGAAUCUUGUAGUGUUCCAGAGUCAUGGGGGAAAAACUGCUAGAUGCCAACCAGAGAGGUAUGGCCCAUAGACUGAAAACCAUUUAGCUUCCUGGAAUUUACCUACUGUAUCAUCUGCUAGGGCUGCUAUAAGAACAUACCAUAGAAUACCAGGGCCUUCAAUGACAGGAAUUUAUUCCUCAGUGUUUGGAGACUAGGAAGUUCAAGAUCAAGAUGUAGGCUACUUUCGUUCUCCGGUGAGAGCUCUCUUCCUGGUGUCUGGAUGACCAUCUUCUCACUGUGUCUUCACAGGGACAUCACAGAGCAGGGAAGAGAGCCUGCUCAGGUCUUUCUUCUUCUUAUAAAGACAGUAAUCACAUUACUAGGGUCCCAUCCUCAUGCCCUCAUCUAAACUUAAAUACCUUUCAAAGGCCCUGCUUCCAAAUAUCAUCACAUUGGCGUUAGACCUUCUAGCUAUAAGAUUAGUGGGGGUGGAGGAACACAAUUCAGUCCAUAGGACCCACUUUACAAAGCAAACUAUGUUGGCCCAGAGAGAUAGGAAAUUGACUAGCUUAGAAUUUGCAGAGCUCAGCUGAGUCUCCAGGCUCCAGCUUCCUGUUCAGCAAAUUCUCAUAGUACUUUAUCAGUCUCCACUGUAGGACACAUCUCCCUUCUGUCCUUAUUAGAGUUACUUGUCUGUAAAUAAUUUUCAUCCUACCUGAUUUUAAGUUCCCUGAAUAGUGAAUCCAUAUCUACAACAUCUAUUGAAUUGAUGUCCAUGUAUUAACCAUUUCAUUUUUCAUAAAGAUUAAGUUCUGGAUUCUGGAGCACUGUUGUAUUUAUAAAUUUUCUAUUCAUUAUGAAUUCCAAUGUAUUGAGGUUGACUGGAGUAUUUUAAUGAUACAGUUUAUCCAAAUCACUUUGUCACAUUGAAAUUUUAUAUAUCCAUAUAUUAGUUAAAUGUUGAACAACAGCAUUUAUUAUGUAUUAUAUAUAUACAUUCUCCAUGUUGCCAAUCACUAGAGUUGUAACUAUGAAACAGAACUUUUUCUCAUGUGAUUUUGGUUAUAUAAUUUUUCAUUAAAUUUUAGCCCAUAUAGAAGACAUAUGGAACAUGACAGUGCCAUACACUGUGUCUCUUUGGUUUACUAUUUGGACAUAUGCUUUACAUACAAAAGUUAUUUCAGUUCACCAUAUGUGAUCCAUAUUUAAAUGUAGAAAUGGAGCCUCACAGGAGAUGUAUCAAAAUAGCACAUACAAACAUUUACUAUUUGUGCCAGUAAGUGGAUCUUUAGCAGAAAACUCAACAACUACCAUAUGCAGCAGCUGUUAUUCAGUGGACCAAAAAUAACGGCCUGGAACAAUGCAAGCUGCAGUUUCAGCAUAUUUGAACCCCAUCCACCUAUUUCUCAAAAUCCAUUCAGAUGCUUAAAAGGCUCUUCAUUUGCAAUUAACCACUGUAAUUGUUUUGACCCACACAUGCUAGUUAAGGAGAAACACUCCAAGAAAAAAUUUCCUGAGCUGUCAGGUAUUUGUCAGUGGGGGGGGGAACAGUAAACACAUUGUCUAUUCCCCAGGACAACUUUUGGAACUCAACAUAAAAUAUUUUUUAAUAAGCCUUUGGAUGGCCAAUAUGGCUGAGACAAUAACUCAUAUGAUUUAAAAAUAUUAACUAGUUUAUUAAUUAGAUAUAUCUCUAUAUAAUUAGGUAUAUCUCUCUGAAAUACCACAAAAAGUUGUUUUCUAGUAAAGUCUAUUAUUUGCUCAGAUUUUUUGGUUGGUUGAGAUAAUCAUCAUGAGUGUGUGUUAUUAUUUAUGGGAAGAAAGUUAAAGAUGUGCUGGGAGUUAAUUUUUUAUGCAUGUGAUAAUAAUACAGAAAAAUCUUGACAGUUGUCAUUGAAUGGGAGUGGGGAAAGCAAUGCUCAGUAAACAAGAUCACUGGUUUAGAAUUCCAGCUCUGUCAUAUGCCUCUAAGCAAGGCCCUUGCAAGCCUCAGUUUCAUAUCUUAGAAAGUGGGAUGAUAAUAAUCUCUAUUUCUGAUUAUUCCAUAGGGUCAUUGUGAGGACAGCUAACAACAACAACUACUCCUAUAUUAUCUGACAUCAGUUAUUGAAUUCAUACUAUGUGAUCAAAGUUGUGACACUACUAUAUAUCAUCAUGUUAUUUAGCUCUCAAAGCAACCUGCAGGGUAGUUUAUUUCUAUGCUGAAUCAACAUCUAACCCUGCAAAUCUCAGUGCCUUAAUUCUGAUGUGUCAUUGAGUGAAAUGUUAGAGAAGCUUCUUGGCAUGCUAUGACUCAGAAAUUAAUACCAACUUAAUUUUGUGUUGCCACCACUUCAAUAGAGAGAUCUGGAGAAUUGGUAUCUGCUCUUAUAUGCUUUAGCCCAGAAGUAACCCAGGAGAGCCCUUUGGCCAUUUCAAGGCCCUGACUAGCCUCGGGGGGCAGAGAUUAUGGGGGAGCACGUGGAUAUUAGGUAAGCAAUCAGCGUAUCUGUUAAAGACAGUGUGGUUUUCCCUGUUUUACAAAUGAGGGAACUAUAGUUCAGAGAUAUUAGGUAAUUUACCUAUGUCACACCCAUUUAGUAGUCAUACACUAUUUUCAUUCUAUUUGACUUAGGAUCUUUAUCUUAAUCAUGAUUUUUAUUAAUAUUUUGAUGAUUUAUUAUUACAUACUAGUGAAUCACAAUAAGUCCACAAAAGGUAUUUUUUAUGAUUCUUCUGCAAUUAAUGAACUUCUCAUCUCAUGGGGAAAAAUUACAUUAUUUAGUUUCUUCUUUCACAGAUGAAGAAAAAGUACUUAUUCUUUUACUUAAUAAAUUUAGAAAUUAAUAUUCAAAUUACACUUCUGUACUAGAUAAAUUAUUUGAAAUAAAAAAUUAAAUGAAUAUUUCUAAAUAAAGUUUAGAUAGUUUGGAUAAACAUACAGAUAUUGUUGCAAGGAGAAGGAAUAAAUGCUCAUUUUGGAUGUAUAUUUAAAAAUAUUGAAAAUAUUAAGAAAGAAAAAUAAUUUGGGUACUUUUUGAAAAAACUGAAAGAAUUAGAAAUCCAAUAGUUGUCAUUAAAAUAUUUUCUUCACUUGUGUUUCCGAUAAGUGUAUAUCAGAAAAUGGGCUAGAAAGUCUCACAUCCUUAAAAUAGCAAAAUAAAUCAACAAUAGAUAUUGUAAUGUAAUUAAAAUUGCAAGAUAAAACAAUAGAUAAAUCAUCCAUAGCCAUAACUGAAAUAUGUAAUGUGCUACUAGAACACAACAUAUGGUUUAAUAAUUGGGUGUUGCAUAUGGUAAUUGUCAUAAUUGUACUCUUAUUUAUGGCUUUUCAAAGAACUAUAAGAACAGUGGGAUUAGUCCAACAGUUUCUGAGAGGAAAAAUAAAUAGAUUAUGAUUAUGUUAGUUUUGCAUAUAAUUGUAGGAAAAUAAAAUGGCAUGCCAGGCCAAGAAUGCUGAUUUUUAAUGUACUAAUGGGUUAGCUCCAAAAGUAGUGUGAAGUUUUGAAAAAAUAGGUGUAUAUCAGAUAAUUCUGGGAAGUGCUUUUAUUGUAACCACUGAUAAUAUUAGAUUAUGUAAUAGCACAAUCUUCUUUUAUCUUUUUCCAUGAACUAUACUCAAGAACUGCGACCUUUGCAAGAAUUUGGACAUCUCAUUCCUUCUUUCAAAUUGAUACUUCAGAUAAAAUUCACUGCCCUAUUUGUUUGUUUCUCUUACUCUAAAUUUAAAAACCAGUUGGUACAGUUUGGAAAUAUACUAUUAAUGUAUAAAGAUAUGGUAUGGAAAUGAAUACAUGCAGUUAUACUUGGCAAGCCAAGGGAAGGAAUAGCAUUAAAGGCACUUAAUAUUUGUUGGUAAGUAUAAUAUUCCAUUAGCUCUUCUAAGAUCUAACAUGUUUUACACAGUAAUAAAUAAUAACAAUAAUGAUAGCUAGUCUUUACUGAAUUCCCUUCUCUUCACCAGGCUUUGUUUUGAGUGAUUUAUAUACAUGAUCUCAUUUGGUCCUUACAACCUAGGAGGAAAGGGCUCUUAUUGAUAUCUUUAGUUUACAGAUGAAAAACUCAAUGCUUAAAAUAGUGAAGUUAAUUGCCAAAAUCACAUAACUCAUUGGGACAGAGAUCAGUUUUAUUCCCUGGCUCUGUAACUCCAAAGUAUAACUUUAUAUGUAUAUAUAUAAAAGGAUGCUCCCUCUACCUGCUUUGCCCUUUCAAUUUCAGCUUCGGAACAUUUGUGUCAUUGUGUCUUCAUGCCCAGUGGUUUGAGUCAGGGUUAGGGAAGAGUGCUUCUAUACUAACAGAAUUCCAAUUGGAUGGUUGGAAAUUGUUGAUUUGAGAAUGGUUGCCAAGAUAAAUCAAAACAAAUGAGGGUCAAGGAAAUUCAUUUGUUUUUCAUUUUCAAGUAAAAAGCAUUAAAUCAUCUCUUUCUCUUUACAGAACAGGUUUAAGAAGAACAAUUAAAAGGAAAGGCUAUUAUCCAAUGCUUAAAGAUCCACCAUAGAAUACUGCACAUACUUCUUAAAAUGGGAAUCUGCCCCCCACUAUUGAGUGAAAGCUAUUCUCAAAUUACUAUUUAAUGUCAUGUGCAAUAAAUGAAAAGCAGUAUUAAAUAUAUUUUAAGACUCUUGUCAAAAGAACUGUCUACUAUAUCAUUUCCCAGCCCCUAUGCAAGUUUCCAUGUUAGGAAGAAAGUUUUUUUUUUGUGGAAUUUAUUUCUAGGAAAUCCCUCUUCUCCCACCGGGAACUAUAUGUCUGGUCUUAGUAAUGUGCUUCAUUUUCACCCUGGAGGUUGGGACGCUCAAGUCCAUUAUAAAUGCUCUAAUAAAGUAAGCAUUUAGCAUCUAUGACAGAGAUGCUAUCAUAUUUUCCAGGUUCCAUUGAAGGUAGAUAAUUAAUUCUAAUGAAUACAAUGUAGGUCAAAGGGAUGUGUGUGAUAUUCAAGCCUGGCCACCACUGCUGAUCGUUUCCUUCCCCAAAUUGCCUGCUGACUUACAUAUAGGAUCAUCUUGAAAGGUAUAUAUUGAGGGGAGCAGUCUCUUUCAAACCUACUCUCGCAUUACUCUGCAGCAAUCAUACCUUAUAAGAACAAUGAAUAAAUUUCUAAGGCAUGAAGCUACCAUGCCUUAGAAGUUUAUUAGCUUACAGUCUAGUUUAUCAGUUACAGUGACUACUAACAUAUUAAUUACUAAAGAAAUUGGUAAUAGACAUUCGGUAUUUCUUUUAUUUUUUCCCCUUUUCUCUGCUUUAUGGAAAUAAGACACAUGUGUUUCUAUAAAAUUAGAGCAGAGUGGGUUGUACUUCAUAAAGACAUUCAGGAUGCCAGGUUGACAAAGGCUCAGCCAUCUUGAAAGCAUCCGUUCCAAGGUUGUCCUUUGCUCAGUGGUUAAUUACUAGGCAGCAGGAGAAAACUGACGUCAGAGGCAAGAAAAAAAAUGCAAGUUGUUUAACGGCAAAGUUUUUGUUUACUUGUGAUAACUUGAAGAUGGAUAACAUAUAUACAAAGCCUUUGGCUUUAGUAAAAGAAGUUGAAAAACAGUAUCAUUGAUGAGUAGUGGUUGCCACUGGUUGAGCAAAACAUGUUAUUAGAAGAAGUAGUACAGGUUGAAUAAUAAUUAGCUAUUUUUCACAGAGAAAUAAAAGAGAAUAGAAAGUUUUCAGAAAUUUGAAGUACCACAGAUUUAGAAAAGUUGAUUGGAAAAUUAGAAGCCAAACAGGAAAUAAGGUUAAAAAAGGCUCUGAAUGACAAAGAUUCAUUUAGAUUCAACCCUGC
RNAcentral lists this long non-coding RNA (6286 nucleotides) under Sus scrofa (pig). RNAcentral's name for it is "lncRNA (ENSSSCG00000053049.1)". Lineage: Eukaryota; Metazoa; Chordata; Mammalia; Artiodactyla; Suidae. The record is from RNAcentral.